UACGAAGGGGGCUGGCGUUGCUCGGAAUCACUGGGCGUAAAGGGUGCGUAGGCGGGUCUUUAAGUCAGGGGUGAAAUCCUGGAGCUCAACUCCAGAACUGCCUUUGAUACUGAAGAUCUUGAGUCCGGGAGAGGUGAGUGGAACUGCGAGUGUAGAGGUGAAAUUCGUAGAUAUUCGCAAGAACACCAGUGGCGAAGGCGGCUCACUGGCCCGGUACUGACGCUGAGGCACGAAAGCGUGGGGAGCAAACAGG
This 253-nucleotide ribosomal RNA is filed under the name uncultured bacterium. RNAcentral describes it as "partial 16S ribosomal RNA". It matches the Rfam family "Bacterial small subunit ribosomal RNA", at positions 524 to 776 of the family's 1533-position model. The record is from RNAcentral.